UACGUAGGGGCCUAGCGUUGUCCGGAUUUAUUGGGCGUAAAGGGUGCGUAGGUGGCAUGGUAAGUCGGGUGUGAAAUCCCGGGGCUCAACCCCGGAACUGCACUCGAUACUGCCGUGCUCGAGUACUGGAGAGGAGACUGGAAUUUACGGUGUAGCAGUGAAAUGCGUAGAUAUCGUAAGGAAGACCGGUGGCGAAGGCUAGUCUCUGGACAGUUACUGACACUGAGGCACGAAGGCCAGGGGAGCAAACGGG
This 253-nucleotide ribosomal RNA is filed under the name uncultured bacterium. RNAcentral describes it as "partial 16S ribosomal RNA". It matches the Rfam family "Bacterial small subunit ribosomal RNA", at positions 524 to 776 of the family's 1533-position model. The record is from RNAcentral.